UGAGGAAUAUUGGUCAAUGGGCGAGAGCCUGAACCAGCCAAGUCGCGUGAAGGAUGACUGUCUUAUGGAUUGUAAACUUCUUUUAUACGGGAAUAACAAGAGUCACGUGUGACUCCCUGCAUGUACCGUAUGAAUAAGCAUCGGCUAACUCCGUGCCAGCAGCCGCGGUAAUACGGAGGAUGCGAGCGUUAUCCGGAUUUAUUGGGUUUAAAGGGUGCGUAGGCGGCCUGUUAAGUCAGCGGUGAAAUCUAGGAGCUUAACUCCUAAAUUGCCAUUGAUACUGGCGGGCUUGAGUGUAGAUGAGGUAGGCGGAAUGCGUGGUGUAGCGGUGGAAUGCAUAGAUAUCACGCAGAACUCCGAUUGCGAAGGCAGCUUACUAAGGUACAACUGACGCUGAAGCACGAAAGCGUGGGUAUCAAACAGGAUUAGAUACCCUGGUAGUCCACGCAGUAAACGAUGAUAACUGGGCGUAUGCGAUAUACAGUAUGCUCCUAAGCGAAAGCGUUAAGUUAUCCACCUGGGGAGUACGCCGGCAACGGUG
Molecule: ribosomal RNA, 541 nt
Filed under: uncultured bacterium
Lineage: Bacteria
Description: bacterial SSU rRNA
Rfam family: Bacterial small subunit ribosomal RNA
Source: RNAcentral